RNAcentral lists this ribosomal RNA (399 nucleotides) under uncultured fungus. RNAcentral's name for it is "SSU rRNA". It matches the Rfam family "Eukaryotic small subunit ribosomal RNA", at positions 828 to 1228 of the family's 1831-position model. Lineage: Eukaryota; Fungi. The record is from RNAcentral.
CUGUGGUCUUAUUUCGUUGGUUUUGCGGGCCACGGUAAUGAUGAAUAGGGACAGUUGGGGGCAUUUGUAUUGCCGAGCUAGAGGUGAAAUUCUUGGAUUUCGGCAAGACAAACCGGUGCGAAAGCGUCUGCCAAGGAUGUUUUCAUUGAUCAAGAACGAAAGUUAAGGGAUCGAAGACGAUCAGAUACCGUCGUAGUCUUAACUAUAAACGAUGCCGACUGGGGAUCGGGCGAUGUUGUUUCUGACUCGCCCGGCACCCUGCGAGAAAUCAAAGUGUUUGGGUUCCGGGGGGAGUAUGGUCGCAAGGCUGAAACUUUAAGGAAUUGACGGAAGGGCACCACCAGGAGUGGAGCCUGCGGCUUAAUUUGACUCAACACGGGGAAACUCACCAGGUCCAGA